UCUGCGCCCCUGUUCGGUCUCGUGCUCCUCAGGGACACCGUACGCGAGCCCAACUGCUCGAGAGACCCCGCACCCCCUCCUCGAUCUUCCUCGUUGCCGCACGCGGGAGCUAGGGCGAAACGGAUCUCGCAGAGUCCACGCUGACCGCCGCCGUUCGCCGAAGGAUUCUGUCGUCCGGAGCCGGAGGAACAAGCUCGACCGACGCACCGGAGCAGCCGCCGUUCACAUCCUCGCCGCUGUCAGUAGAGGACGCCCCGCCGCUGUUGAACACCACCACCACUUCCGCUACUCACCGCCGCACCCAUCCGUCGUUUCACCUUCGCCGGAGACCCGCCGGAGACGCGCCGCCACCGACGCCCGAGACCGCCGUCCUUGGUUGCUGAUUAUCCGGAGUGCGACGCGAGCUAUUGUCAGGAGUGUGACUUUCUGAACCAGAACCAAGGCAAGUUACAUGUUGAUCAUCCUUUACCUAUUUUUUCUAUGCACGUAGUUAUAUCACACUAUGAAUAUAUGCAUGUAUAGGAAUACUAUAUAUUUUGGUUAUGCUGUUGAGCUAUCUUUCCGUCUUUGCAAAUCGUGGUAGUUGUAGGUUGCUAUGCUUUGUAGACGGGGGUGGUUCGUGUAUUCAUUGAGCUUAUGUGAGGAUUAUAUAUAUAAUAAUUUGAGUAGUAACUCAGGACUUAAUUCAC
Molecule: long non-coding RNA, 689 nt
Organism: Triticum aestivum (bread wheat)
Lineage: Eukaryota; Viridiplantae; Streptophyta; Magnoliopsida; Poales; Poaceae
Exons: 3
Source: RefSeq, a predicted model, not a curated record